Molecule: ribosomal RNA, 429 nt
Filed under: uncultured bacterium
Lineage: Bacteria
Description: bacterial SSU rRNA
Rfam family: Bacterial small subunit ribosomal RNA
Source: RNAcentral
UCAGGCAUAACACAUGCAAGUCGAACGGUAACGUGGGGCAACCUGGCGACGAGUGGCGAACGGGUGAGUAAUGCAUCGGAACGUGCCCAGUAGUGGGGGAUAGCCCGGCGAAAGCCGGAUUAAUACCGCAUACGACCUACGGGUGAAAGGGGGGGAUCGCAAGACCUCUCGCUAUUGGAGCGGCCGAUGUCAGAUUAGGUUGUUGGUGGGGUAAAGGCCUACCAAGCCGACGAUCUGUAGCUGGUCUGAGAGGAAGACCAGCCACACUGGGAGUGAGACACGCCCCAGACUCCUACGGGAGGCAGCAGUGGGGAAUUUUGGACAAUGGGCGAAAGCCUGAUCCAAAGAUGCCGCGUGCGGGAAGAAGGCCUUCGGGUGUAAUCAAAGAGUGUCAGGGAAGAAAUCUUCUGGGUUAAUACCUCGGGAGGA